Molecule: non-coding RNA, 31 nt
Filed under: Mus musculus (house mouse)
Lineage: Eukaryota; Metazoa; Chordata; Mammalia; Rodentia; Muridae
Source: RNAcentral
UGCUAUUGAUGGUGUUUGGGUGUUAGCCUAA